GGCGAGAUGGCCGAGCGGUCUAAGGCGCCAGACUAAGGCCAAAGCAGUUUCUGCUUAUGUAAUCUGGUCUCUUUCGAGGCGUGGGUUCGAAUCCCACUUUCGUCA
Molecule: non-coding RNA, 105 nt
Organism: Termitomyces sp. Mi166#008
Lineage: Eukaryota; Fungi; Basidiomycota; Agaricomycetes; Agaricales; Lyophyllaceae
Source: the annotation of a GenBank genome assembly